CACGUAAUUAGCCGGUCCUUAUUCCUAUGGUACUGUCAUUUUCUUCCCAUAGAAAAGAUUUUUACAACCCGAAGGCCUUCUAAAUCACGCGGCGUCGCUGCAUCAGGGUUUCCCCCAUUGUGCAAAAUUCCCCACUGCUGCCUCCCGUAGGAGUCUGGGCCGUGUCUCAGUCCCAAUGUGGCCGUACACUCUCUCAAGCCGGCUACUGAUCGCUGUCUUGGUGGGCCGUUACCCCACCAACUAACUAAUCAGACGCAAGUCCAUCUUAGAGCGAUAAAUCUUUGACCAAGGCCUCAUGCGAGGUUAUGGUUUCAUAGGGUAUUAUUCUUCGUUUCCAAAGGCUAUCCCCUUCUCUAAGGCAGGUUACUCACGCGUUACUCACCCGUCCGCCACUAAUCCACUUUUUUCAUUCCGAAGAAAUCAAAAAAGUUUCAUCGUUCGACUUGCAUGUGUUAUGCACGCCGCCAGCGUUAAUCCUGAGCCAGGAUCAAACUCU
RNAcentral lists this ribosomal RNA (496 nucleotides) under uncultured Anaerococcus sp. Its description in RNAcentral is "partial 16S ribosomal RNA". Lineage: Bacteria; Bacillati; Bacillota; Tissierellia; Tissierellales; Peptoniphilaceae. The record is from RNAcentral.